CUCUCUCUCACCCGUAUGACUAUUUUCACAGACUUGGAACUUUGCUUGCCUUUCCCUCGCUCUUUGACUUUUCCCAUUCCAAUCGAGUGCCCUUUACACGUCACACGUAUCGCAUGUGCAAAAUCAAUAGAAUUGUAAUAUCAAAACUCAAGAAAUGUGGAGACAUUCAACCCCAAGCCUACUGCUCUUGGUGGAGCUAGGCUAGAAAAUACAAAGCUUGAUUAGGCAAAUUGAAGUCCCGUUCUACAAAACAAUUUUAUUGGUAUUAUAUUAAAAAAAAAAAUCAACACCAAACAAAGCAGAAGCCAGAAGGGAUCGAAUCGAAUUUGUACAAAAGCCAGCUGAGGCAGAAAAGGAGGGUACGAAACAGAGGAGG
Molecule: unclassified non-coding RNA, 376 nt
Filed under: Hevea brasiliensis (rubber tree)
Lineage: Eukaryota; Viridiplantae; Streptophyta; Magnoliopsida; Malpighiales; Euphorbiaceae
Source: RNAcentral